GAUGAACGCUGGCGGCGUGCCUAAUACAUGCAAGUCGAGCGAACGGACGAGAAGCUUGCUUCUCUGAUGUUAGCGGCGGACGGGAGAGUCACACGUGGAUAACCUCCCUAUCAGACUGGGAUAACUGCGGGAAACCGGAGCUAAUACCGGAUAAUAUUUUGAACCGCAUGGUUCUAAAGAGAAAGACGGUCUUGCUGUAACUUAUAGAUUGAUCCGCGCUUGAUUAGGUAGUUGGUAAGGUAACGGCUUACGGAGGCAACUAAGCAUAGCCGACCUGAGAGGGUGAUCGGCCCCCCUGGAACUGAGACACGGUCCAGACUCCUACGGGAGGCAGCAGUAGGGAAUCUUCCGCAAUGGGCGAAAGCAUGACGGAGCAACGCCGCGUGAGUGAUGAAGUUCUUCGGAUCGUAAACCUGGGUUAUUAGGGAAGAACAUAUGUGUAAGUAACUGUGCACAUCUUGACGGUACCUAAUCAGAAAGCCACGGCUAACUACGUG
This 497-nucleotide ribosomal RNA is filed under the name uncultured bacterium. RNAcentral describes it as "partial 16S ribosomal RNA". It matches the Rfam family "Bacterial small subunit ribosomal RNA", at positions 28 to 507 of the family's 1533-position model. The record is from RNAcentral.